This 308-nucleotide ribosomal RNA is filed under the name uncultured bacterium. Its description in RNAcentral is "bacterial SSU rRNA". It matches the Rfam family "Bacterial small subunit ribosomal RNA", at positions 30 to 342 of the family's 1533-position model. The record is from RNAcentral.
AUUGAACGCUGGCGGCAUGCCUUACACAUGCAAGUCGAACGGUAACGCGGGGGCAACCCUGCGGCGAGUGGCGAACGGGUGAGUAAUACAUCGGAACGUGUCCUGUUGUGGGGGAUAACCCAUCGAAAGGUGAGCUAAUACCGCAUGAUCUGGAGACAGCAAAAGCAGGGGACCGGAAACGGCCUUGCGCGAUUGGAGCGGCCGAUGUCCGACUAGCUAGUUGCGGGUAAGGCCACCAAGGCACGAUCGGUAGCUGGCUGAGAGGAUGAUCAGCCACACUGGGACUGAGACACGGCCCAGACUCCUAC